CAGGAAAAUUACAACCAGAUACCACCACACAACUGGGAUAAAGAUCUAGAACUGUGGCCUGUAAUCUGUGGGACCAAAGAGGGGAUGAUGGAUGCCAAAAAGCUGGAGAAAAGUCUGAAGUGUAUUGAAUGUGAGGGCCGCCACUUCACCCCACCUGCCUUUGAGGACUUUGCAGGAAAAAGCU
Molecule: long non-coding RNA, 184 nt
Organism: Girardinichthys multiradiatus
Lineage: Eukaryota; Metazoa; Chordata; Actinopteri; Cyprinodontiformes; Goodeidae
Exons: 3
Source: RefSeq, a predicted model, not a curated record